Molecule: non-coding RNA, 3477 nt
Organism: Odocoileus virginianus texanus
Lineage: Eukaryota; Metazoa; Chordata; Mammalia; Artiodactyla; Cervidae
Source: RefSeq, a predicted model, not a curated record
UGAUAAAGCCCUUCACAGUUGCAGAAGUCUCUGCAGUCUCCUCUGUCUUCUCUCCCUCUUGAGCGCACGGCAGAGUGAUUCUCUGAUAUGAUGCAUUUGGCUGACAGAACAGACACAAUGAUAGUCCCCUCUGGGAAGCAGCUCCAAGAGCCAACUGCUGUCCUCUCUGACAGAUGACAAGGGAGGAGGAUGUGAAUGAACCAGGUACACCUGUCCUUUAAUAGCCUGACACCUAUAACAACCAGCACCCCAGUGGCCAUGGAAACAAAGAACACGGUUGGGAUGGGAAUCACCACGAGACUAUGGGGAGGUUUCGGUGAGACCCUCUGUGUGUUGCUGGGGAACACAUGAAAAUAUUAGCUGCGCUUCAUCAUGUAUCCUGGUUCUUCUUCAGCCCAAUACCUAAGACCUCCUUAGGGGCAGGACGGGAGAAUAAGAGAGUCAAAACCUUAGCUUGCCUUUUAAACAUCCAAAGUCAGCUCUGAGUUAUAGGAAACUGAAGGAUUUGGCAUGAAAUUUACAGACGGUCUAAAAACUUUGAAGACCUGUGAUAGGUCAGACCUGGUUUUCCCUGCUUCGGAGGAGAGGAGGGUGCAAGAUCAAGGAAGGGUGCCAAGAUCAAGGAAGGGUGCACUUCGAGAGGAGUCACAUGGGCAGCAACGGAGGUGGAUCCUGGGGGCUUCCCUGGAAACAGCCCUGCUCCUCCACCACCCACCAGAUGGACCCUGCAGAGGAUGGAGAAUUGGACCGGGACCUCAGACAGGGUGGCUGGGCGGCAGGGCUGCAGCAGGAAGAGUGUGACUAUCUGCGGAUGAUCGCGGUACAGCAUGAGCAGUGCCUGGAGGAGGUGCAUCUGGAGAAUGAAACAGCAGGCUGCGGCAAGAUGUGGGACAACCUCACCUGCUGGCCAGCCACCCCUAGGGGCCAGGUGGUUGUCUUGGCCUGUCCCCUCAUCUUUAAGCUCUUCUCGCCCAUUCAAGGCCGCAACGUGAGCCGCAGCUGCACCGAAGCGGGCUGGACGCCCCUGGAGCCUGGCCCCUACCCCGUUGCCUGUGGCUUGGAUGACAAUUCAUCGAGUUUGGAUGAGCAGCAGCAGACAGUGUUCUACAGUUCUGUGAAGACCGGCUACACCAUCGGCUACAGCCUGUCCCUCGCCACCCUUCUGGUCGCCACGGCCAUCCUGAGCCUGUUCAGGAAGCUCCACUGCACACGGAACUACAUCCAUAUGCACCUCUUCAUAUCCUUCAUCCUGAGGGCCGCCGCCGUCUUCAUCAAAGACUUGGCCCUCUUCAACAGUGGGGAGACGGACCAUUGCUCCAAGGGCUCGGGCUCUGCUCAUCAUGCCCCCCUUUCUCCUCCCCCCAUGGCCACCUGGAGCCAGUCCCACCCCACACCGCCCUGCUCUUCGUUUCUUCCCCGGCCAUCAGUCACUCUGGACCUGCCUAGGGAAGGGAGACUGAGAGCCUUUAAAGAAGUCAUUGCCCUGCUCACUAAGGAGCCCAUCUCCAGGUGGGCUGCAAGGCAGCCGUGGUCUUAUUCCAGUACUGUGUCAUGGCCAACUUCUUCUGGCUGCUGGUGGAGGGCCUCUACCUGCACACCCUGCUCGCCGUCUCCUUCUUCUCCGAGCGGAAGUACUUCUGGGGGUACAUAUUCAUCGGCUGGGGGGUGCCCAGCACAUUCACCCUGGUGUGGACCAUCAUCAGGAUCCAUUUUGAGGAUUAUGGAUGCUGGGACACAAUCAACUCCUCACUGUGGUGGAUCAUAAAGGCCCCCAUCCUCGCCUCCAUCUUGGUGAAUUUCAUCCUGUUCAUUCGCAUCAUUGGAAUCCUGGUUCAGAAACUGCGGCCCCCAGAUGUCGGGAAGAGUGACAGCAGCCCGUACUCGAGAUUGGCCAAGUCCACCCUUCUGCUGAUCCCCCUGUUUGGCGUGCACUACAUCAUGUUCGCCUUCUUCCCCGACAACUUUAAGGCUGAAGUGAAAAUGGUAUUUGAGCUCGUCGUGGGGUCUUUCCAGGGUUUUGUGGUGGCCAUCCUCUACUGCUUCCUGAAUGGUGAGGUGCAGGCAGAGCUGCGGCGGAAGUGGCGGCGCUGGCACCUGCAGGGCGUCUUGGGUUGGGACCCCAAAUACCAGCACCCAUCCGCAGGCAGCAACGGGGCCACGUGCAGCACGCAGGUCUCCAUGCUGACCCGCGUCAGCCCUGGCGCCGGCCGCUCCUCCAGCUUCCAGGCCGAAGUCUCCCAGGUCUGACCGCCAGGUGCCCCGGCGGGUGGGCGGCACCUCUCGCCGGCACUGCCCGCCACCCCGCGCGGCACCGGGGGCAGAGACCUCUCGGGCGAGGUCAGCCCCAGCGCUGAGCUCAGGAGGCUUCCCCGGGCCCCCAGAUCACUGUCCGGAAGCCCCUGGAGAACGCUGCCUUUGCGCCUGCCUGGAGAGAGGAAGGUACAUAGAUGGAGGAACAAUGGAAGCUCCUACCUGGAAGACGUGGGGUGAAGCUGUCUUCAGACUCCGCCCCCAAAGACUUCCUCCGCCAAUUGAGGGCAAGAAAUCUGCAUACUCUCGCCUGAUUCCACCCCGGGUAGCUCACGCCACCCACCCGACCCAUCGGAGAAAGGCCACCGCCUAUCCCCAGAGUGUGCAUUUGGGAAUGUGCUGUUAUCUCAGGCGACAAGGGUACUGCCCUGAAAGGUCACCUGCCACCACCACCUGGACAGUGCCUGAAGUUCCACCGUUGACAUCAGGUUCUUUUGGGUUAAGCAUCACCAUUCAGGCAUCUCUCCAAACAUGCAGUCCCCUCCCUCAGUGCCUCCUCAUAGCUGCCAACUCUUCGCAGUGAAUGAGUUUUUCUGCCUCCAGCAGGUGCGGUUGUAAACAAGGAGUUUUUAGUUUGGGGAGGGCAGCUAUCUCCAUAGUCCCCGCUAGGGUGGAGCUGCCCCGGGAUGGCUGGACCAAUUCCAAGAGAUUGCCUCCAGCCCUACCUAUCCUCACUGGCUCUGGGAGCUGCCCACCUAUGUGCCAACUAUUAGCACCGGGCUCAGAGAUGAUGGACGCUCACAGGCCCCUUCAUCCUCACAGCAACCCUGCAAGGUGGGCACUAUCACAGUGAGCCUCACCCAAAGCAGGCACCUCACCUUGUCACACAGACAGGAUUUGAACUCAGAUCUUGCUGAUGGGAAAGUGAAAGCACAGACUCUUAACUGCUGCCUUUUAUAUAUUGUAACCAGCUGAAUCCUCUUGCUUAUUUGUAUCACCACUGGUAUUGUUAUUUGCACCAUCCCCAAACCCCAUUCCCAUUCUCCCCAGAGUGUGGCUGAGGAGUCCUCUGGCCCGUGUAUCCUCUGGACAAGAGCCUGGGGGUUGUCACAGCCUGUAUCUUCCCUGCACCCCUGUGGCCACAAGGCUUGCUAUCCACGCCCCAGCCAGAAGAUCCCCUCGGGACUGCAAACAGGCUUGUGCAACAAUAAACACUGGGUUGGAUUA